Molecule: ribosomal RNA, 425 nt
Filed under: uncultured bacterium
Lineage: Bacteria
Description: partial 16S ribosomal RNA
Rfam family: Bacterial small subunit ribosomal RNA
Source: RNAcentral
GUUAGGAAUAUUGGUCAAUGGGCGAAAGCCUGAUCCAGCCAUGCCGCGUGAACGAUGAAGGCCUUCGGGUUGUAAAGUUCUUUAGCCGAUGAUUAUAAUGACUGUAGUCGGAAAAUAAGCCCCGGCUAACUUCGUGCCAGCAGCCGCGGUAAUACGAAGGGGGCGAGCGUUAUUCGGAAUCACUGGGCGUAAAGCGUGCGUAGGCGGUUUUGUAAGUUAGGAGUGAAAGCCCAGGGCUCAACCUUGGAAUUGAUCUUAAAACUGCAAGGCUCAGCUCUCGGAGAAGAUAGCGGAAUUUCCAGUGUAGCAGUGAAAUGCGUAGAUAUUGGAAAGAACACCAGUGGCGUAAGCGGCUAUCUGGACGAGUAUUGACGCUGAGGCACGAAAGCGUGGGGAUCAAACAGGAUUAGAAACCCUUGUAGUCC